This is a non-coding RNA of Colossoma macropomum (tambaqui), 290 nucleotides long. RefSeq annotates it as small Cajal body-specific RNA 6. The record is from RefSeq and is a predicted model, not a curated record. The transcript has a single exon. NCBI's taxonomy places the organism in Eukaryota, Metazoa, Chordata, Actinopteri, Characiformes, Serrasalmidae.
GGUCAGUGAUGUGAUGUAAAAGGUCUGAAGCCCGGCUCUCUCUGUUCCUGAGCUCCUCCCGGCCCCCUGCUGUUCUCCCAGCAUGCUCUAGGUGUGUGUAGCUGGUUUGCGGGGGGCUGAUAUUGAGGCGGCUGAGCUGGGUGUGUGUCUCUGAGAGCAGCGAGAUACACACACAGCAUCGCCCCACACACACACACCACACACACACCACACACACACACACACAGGAGGAUGGAGGUUCAGCAGAGACACAGCAGAGGCUCAUGAUCUCCAGUUUUCAAGCUGAGACC